This 401-nucleotide ribosomal RNA is filed under the name uncultured bacterium. RNAcentral describes it as "bacterial SSU rRNA". It matches the Rfam family "Bacterial small subunit ribosomal RNA", at positions 355 to 773 of the family's 1533-position model. The record is from RNAcentral.
UGGGGAAUAUUGGACAAUGGGCGAAAGCCUGAUCCAGCCAUGCCGCGUGAGUGAUGAAGGCCCUAGGGUUGUAAAGCUCUUUUGUGCGGGAAGAUAAUGACGGUACCGCAAGAAUAAGCCCCGGCUAACUUCGUGCCAGCAGCCGCGGUAAUACGAAGGGGGCUAGCGUUGCUCGGAAUCACUGGGCGUAAAGGGUGCGUAGGCGGGUUUCUAAGUCAGAGGUGAAAGCCUGGAGCUCAACUCCAGAACUGCCUUUGAUACUGUUAGUCUUGAGUACAGUUGAGGUAGGCGGAAUGUGUCAUGUAGCGGUGAAAUGCUUAGAUAUGACACAGAACACCGAUUGCGAAGGCAGCUUGCUAAGCUGUAACUGACGCUGAGGCACGAAAGCGUGGGGAGCAAAC